RNAcentral lists this transfer RNA (77 nucleotides) under Flavobacterium sp. A45. Its description in RNAcentral is "tRNA-Pro". It matches the Rfam family "tRNA". Rfam says of the family: Transfer RNA (tRNA) molecules are approximately 80 nucleotides in length. Their secondary structure includes four short double-helical elements and three loops (D, anti-codon, and T loops). Lineage: Bacteria; Pseudomonadati; Bacteroidota; Flavobacteriia; Flavobacteriales; Flavobacteriaceae. The record is from RNAcentral.
CGGGAUGUAGAGCAGUCUGGUAGCUUACUAGCAUGGGGUGCUAGGGGUCGCUGGUUCGAAUCCAGUCAUCCCGACUA